Molecule: ribosomal RNA, 36 nt
Filed under: Arthrinium sargassi
Lineage: Eukaryota; Fungi; Ascomycota; Sordariomycetes; Amphisphaeriales; Apiosporaceae
Description: partial 18S ribosomal RNA
Source: RNAcentral
AGGGAUCAUUACAGAGUUAUACAACUCCCACACCAU